This 497-nucleotide ribosomal RNA is filed under the name uncultured bacterium. RNAcentral describes it as "partial 16S ribosomal RNA". It matches the Rfam family "Bacterial small subunit ribosomal RNA", at positions 28 to 507 of the family's 1533-position model. The record is from RNAcentral.
GAUGAACGCUGGCGGCGUGCCUAAUACAUGCAAGUCGAGCGAACGGACGAGAAGCUUGCUUCUCUGAUGUUAGCGGCGGACGGGUGAGUAACACGUGGAUAACCUACCUAUAAGACUGGGAUAACUUCGGGAAACCGGAGCUAAUACCGGAUAAUAUUUUGAACCGCAUGGUUCAAAAGUGAAAGACGGUCUUGCUGUAACUUAUAGAUGGAUCCGCGCUGCAUUAGCUAGUUGGUAAGGUAACGGCUUACCAAGGCAACGAUGCAUAGCCGACCUGAGAGGGUGAUCGGCCACACUAGAACGUAGACACGGUCCAGACUCCUACGGGAGGCAGCAGUAGGGAAUCUUCCGCAAUGGGCGAAAGCCUGACGGAGCAACGCCGCGUGAGUGAUGGAGGUCUUCGGAUCGUAAAACUCUGUUAUUAGGGAAGAACAUAUGUGUAAGGAACUGUGCACAUCUUGACGGUACCUAAUCAGAAAGCCACGGCUAACUACGUG